UACAGAGGUCUCAAGCGUUGUUCGGAUUCAUUGGGCGUAAAGGGUGCGUAGGCGGCGCGGUAAGUCGGGUGUGAAAUCUCGGGGCUUAACUCCGAAACUGCAUUCGAUACUGCCGUGCUUGAGGACUGGAGAGGAGACUGGAAUUUACGGUGUAGCGGUGAAAUGCGCAGAUAUCAGGAAGAACACCCGUGGCGAAGGCGGCUCUCUGGGACGGUACUGACGCUGAGACGCGAAAGCGUGGGGAGCGAACAGG
This 253-nucleotide ribosomal RNA is filed under the name uncultured bacterium. RNAcentral describes it as "partial 16S ribosomal RNA". It matches the Rfam family "Bacterial small subunit ribosomal RNA", at positions 524 to 776 of the family's 1533-position model. The record is from RNAcentral.